GACGAACGCUGGCGGCGUGCCUAAUACAUGCAAGUAGAACGCUGAAGCUUGGUGCUUGCACCGAGCGGAUGAGUUGCGAACGGGUGAGUAACGCGUAGGUAACCUGCCUGGUAGCGGGGGAUAACUAUUGGAAACGAUAGCUAAUACCGCAUAAUAGUAGAUGUUGCAUGACAUUUGCUUAAAAGGUGCAAUUGCAUCACUACCAGAUGGACCUGCGUUGUAUUAGCUAGUUGGUGAGGUAACGGCUCACCAAGGCAACGAUACAUAGCCGACCUGAGAGGGUGAUCGGCCACACUGGGACUGAGACACGGCCCAGACUCCUACGGGAGGCAGCAGUAGGGAAUCUUCGGCAAUGGACGGAAGUCUGACCGAGCAACGCCGCGUGAGUGAAGAAGGUUUUCGGAUCGUAAAGCUCUGUUGUAAGAGAAGAACGAGUGUGAGAGUGGAAAGUUCACACUGUGACGGUAUCUUAACAGAAAGGGACGGCUAACUACGUG
RNAcentral lists this ribosomal RNA (497 nucleotides) under uncultured bacterium. Its description in RNAcentral is "partial 16S ribosomal RNA". It matches the Rfam family "Bacterial small subunit ribosomal RNA", at positions 28 to 507 of the family's 1533-position model. The record is from RNAcentral.